CCAUAUGAGGCUGUACGCGCUUCUCGGCCAGUUUGCGAGCUAUUAUUAUUACCCUUGUCUUUUGCGUACCUUUGUUUCCUCGGCGGGUUCCGCCCGCCCGAUGGACCAAUCAUAAACCAUUUUAUGCAGUUGCAAUCAGCGUCAGUAUAAACAAAUUAAUCAGUUA
Molecule: unclassified non-coding RNA, 166 nt
Filed under: soil metagenome
Description: partial internal transcribed spacer 1
Source: RNAcentral